UCUGAUGGUAAAAUACGAGGUUGUGGA
RNAcentral lists this non-coding RNA (27 nucleotides) under Bombyx mori (domestic silkworm). Lineage: Eukaryota; Metazoa; Arthropoda; Insecta; Lepidoptera; Bombycidae. The record is from RNAcentral.